GACGAACGCUGGCGGCGUGCCUAAUACAUGCAAGUAGAACGCUGAAGGAGGAGCUUGCUUCUCUGGAUGAGUUGCGAACGGGUGAGUAACGCGUAGGUAACCUGCCUGGUAGCGGGGGAUAACUAUUGGAAACGAUAGCUAAUACCGCAUAAUAGUAGAUGUUGCAUGACAUUUGCCUAAAAGGUGCAAUUGCAUCACUACCAGAUGGACCUGCGUUGUAUUAGCUAGUUGGUGGGGUAACGGCUCACCAAGGCGACGAUACAUAGCCGACCUGAGAGGGUGAUCGGCCACACUGGGACUGAGACACGGCCCAGACUCCUACGGGAGGCAGCAGUAGGGAAUCUUCGGCAAUGGACGGAAGUCUGACCGAGCAACGCCGCGUGAGUGAAGAAGGUUUUCGGAUCGUAAAGCUCGGUUGUAAGAGAAGAACGAGUGUGAGAGUGGAAAGUUCACACUGUGACGGUAGCUUACCAGAAAGGGACGGCUAACUACGUG
Molecule: ribosomal RNA, 495 nt
Filed under: uncultured bacterium
Lineage: Bacteria
Description: partial 16S ribosomal RNA
Rfam family: Bacterial small subunit ribosomal RNA
Source: RNAcentral